Molecule: ribosomal RNA, 892 nt
Filed under: Pseudothielavia terricola
Lineage: Eukaryota; Fungi; Ascomycota; Sordariomycetes; Sordariales; Chaetomiaceae
Description: partial large subunit ribosomal RNA
Rfam family: Eukaryotic large subunit ribosomal RNA
Source: RNAcentral
GCAUAUCAAUAAGCGGAGGAAAAGAAACCAACAGGGAUUGCCCUAGUAACGGCGAGUGAAGCGGCAACAGCUCAAAUUUGAAAUCUGGCUUCGGCCCGAGUUGUAAUUUGCAGAGGAAGCUUUAGGCGCGGCACCUCCUGAGUCCCCUGGAACGGGGCGCCACAGAGGGUGAGAGCCCCGUAUAGUUGGAUGCCUAGCCUGUGUAAAGCUCCUUCGACGAGUCGAGUAGUUUGGGAAUGCUGCUCAAAAUGGGAGGUAAAUUUCUUCUAAAGCUAAAUACCGGCCAGAGACCGAUAGCGCACAAGUAGAGUGAUCGAAAGAUGAAAAGCACUUUGAAAAGAGGGUUAAAUAGCACGUGAAAUUGUUGAAAGGGAAGCGCUUGUGACCAGACUUGCGCCGGGCUGAUCAUCCGGUGUUCUCACCGGUGCACUCUGCCCGGCUCAGGCCAGCAUCGGUUCUCGCGGGGGGAUAAAGGCCCUGGGAACGUAGCUCCUCCGGGAGUGUUAUAGCCCGGGGCGCAAUGCCCUCGCGGGGACCGAGGUUCGCGCUCUGCAAGGAUGCUGGCGUAAUGGUCAUCAGCGACCCGUCUUGAAACACGGACCAAGGAGUCAAGGUUUUGCGCGAGUGUUUGGGUGUAAAACCCGCACGCGUAAUGAAAGUGAACGUAGGUGAGAGCUUCGGCGCAUCAUCGACCGAUCCUGAUGUUCUCGGAUGGAUUUGAGUAGGAGCGUUAAGCCUUGGACCCGAAAGAUGGUGAACUAUGCUUGGAUAGGGUGAAGCCAGAGGAAACUCUGGUGGAGGCUCGCAGCGGUUCUGACGUGCAAAUCGAUCGUCAAAUCUGAGCAUGGGGGCGAAAGACUAAUCGAACCAUCUAGUAGCUGGUUACCGCCGA